CCGAGUUCGAUCCCCAGUACCAAAAAAAAAAAAAAGAAUAUUGUACAAUUACGAAAAUGAAGACAUUUCUGGAUGAAUCUCAUCUCAUAAUAUUGAGUAAAAACUUUAAGAACAUAGGAAUGCCUGCAAUAUGGUUCCAAGACAAUGCGCAAAUCCGAAAGGUGAAUUCUUAGUGAACUGAACUACCUAAUGAGACCUUGUCUCAGUAAAGAGAGAGCACCCCUGUCAGCCAACCCAGUCGACCCCCAACUGCCCGAUGACAGCCAUGUUCUGAUUCCCAUCAGCCAUCGAUCAGUUUUGUCUUUCCUGGAACCUCAGCAUGUCCAGGACACUGUCCGG
Long non-coding RNA from Heterocephalus glaber (naked mole-rat), 339 nucleotides. The record is from Ensembl. Lineage: Eukaryota; Metazoa; Chordata; Mammalia; Rodentia; Bathyergidae.